RNAcentral lists this ribosomal RNA (537 nucleotides) under uncultured Acidobacteriota bacterium. RNAcentral describes it as "bacterial SSU rRNA". It matches the Rfam family "Bacterial small subunit ribosomal RNA", at positions 13 to 529 of the family's 1533-position model. The record is from RNAcentral. Lineage: Bacteria; Pseudomonadati; Acidobacteriota.
UUGAUCCUGGCUCAGAAUCAACGCUGGCGGCGUGCCUAACACAUGCAAGUCGAACGCGAAAGUUCCGCAAGGGGUUAGUAGCGUGGCAAACGGGUGAGUUACACGUGGGUGACCUGCCUUCGAGUGGGGGAUAACGUCCCGAAAGGGACUCUAAUACCGCAUGACAUCCUGCCUUUGAAGAGGCGGAGAUCAAAGCUGGUGAUCGCAAGACCUAGCGCUUGAAGAGGGGCCCGCGUCUGAUUAGCUAGUUGGUGGGGUAACGGCUCACCAAGGCAACGAUCAGUAUCCGGCCUGAGAGGUCGGACGGACACACUGGGACUGAGACACGGCCCAGACUCCUACGGGAGGCUGCAGUGGGGAAUUGUUCGCAAUGGGCGCAAGCCUGACGACGCAACGCCGUGUGGAGGAUGAAGACCUUCGGGUCGUAAACUCCUUUCGAUCGAGACGAAUGGCUUCCGGGCUAACAUCCUGGGAGAAUGACGGUACCGAGAGAAGAAGCUCCGGCUAACUCCGUGCCAGCAGCCGCGGUAAUAAGGU